GCCAGACUCCUACGGGAGGCAGCAGUGGGGAAUAUUGGGCAAUGGGCGCAAGCCUGACCCAGCAACGCCGCGUGAAGGAAGAAGGCUUUCGGGUUGUAAACUUCUUUUAAGAGGGAAGAGAAGAAGACGGUACCUCUUGAAUAAGCCACGGCUAACUACGUGCCAGCAGCCGCGGUAAUACGUAGGUGGCAAGCGUUAUCCGGAUUUACUGGGUGUAAAGGGCGUGUAGGCGGGAGAGCAAGUCAGACGUGAAAUUCCAGGGCUCAACCCUGGAACUGCGUUUGAAACUGUUCUUCUUGAGUGAUGGAGAGGCAGGCGGAAUUCCGUGUGUAGCGGUGAAAUGCGUAGAUAUACGGAGGAACACCAGUGGCGAAGGCGGCCUGCUGGACAUUAACUGACGCUGAGGCGCGAAAGCGUGGGGAGCAAACAGGAUUAGAUACCCUCGUAUAU
RNAcentral lists this ribosomal RNA (450 nucleotides) under uncultured bacterium. Its description in RNAcentral is "bacterial SSU rRNA". It matches the Rfam family "Bacterial small subunit ribosomal RNA", at positions 330 to 794 of the family's 1533-position model. The record is from RNAcentral.